Molecule: unclassified non-coding RNA, 586 nt
Filed under: Hevea brasiliensis (rubber tree)
Lineage: Eukaryota; Viridiplantae; Streptophyta; Magnoliopsida; Malpighiales; Euphorbiaceae
Source: RNAcentral
UUUCAAAUUUUAUUUUUAUUACUUAUAUUUCUCAAAUUUUUUAAUAAAAAUUCCAUAAUAGAAAUAAUUAAAAUCUAUGUAUGUAUAAUAUAAAUAUAAAUAAAUGUAAUUAAUAUAUGUUAAUAUAUUGUAAGUUACCUUAUAAUAAUGGCUACUUAUCAUAGUAUUAAUAGAGCAAUUAUUAAAUAAUUUAUAACUUACACAUAAUAAAGAAUAUCAAGUAGCAAUAUUGUAAAGGAGAAUGUCACGUAUUAGCUACGAUACAAUAUCAUGAAAGAUAAUAUCAUAUAUUAAACUUUUGAGAACACUUUCUUGCUUUAUAUAUAGAUAUAGAUAUAGAUGUAGAUAUAGAUGUGAUUAAUAUAGAUCCUUGCAUUAAACCUUCUUCUACCUAAUUUUUUGGAUAUUAGUUGCUAAGAUUUUAUGGGGACCAUUAAUUAUCUAUACUGCGUCCCACUGCAAUAAAUGGCUGCCUUUUAUUUCCUAUUUGCCUUUUAUAAUAUAACAGCGUCUUUUUAUGAUCCUGCAUUGCUUGGUAUUGCUAAUAGCUUAAUAAUUCUAGUGUAAGGCCGCUAUCACGGGAUGA